Molecule: ribosomal RNA, 1386 nt
Filed under: Lactiplantibacillus plantarum
Lineage: Bacteria; Bacillati; Bacillota; Bacilli; Lactobacillales; Lactobacillaceae
Description: bacterial SSU rRNA
Rfam family: Bacterial small subunit ribosomal RNA
Source: RNAcentral
AGUCGAACGAACUCUGGUAUUGAUUGGUGCUUGCAUCAUGAUUUACAUUUGAGUGAGUGGCGAACUGGUGAGUAACACGUGGGAAACCUGCCCAGAAGCGGGGGAUAACACCUGGAAACAGAUGCUAAUACCGCAUAACAACUUGGACCGCAUGGUCCGAGCUUGAAAGAUGGCUUCGGCUAUCACUUUUGGAUGGUCCCGCGGCGUAUUAGCUAGAUGGUGGGGUAACGGCUCACCAUGGCAAUGAUACGUAGCCGACCUGAGAGGGUAAUCGGCCACAUUGGGACUGAGACACGGCCCAAACUCCUACGGGAGGCAGCAGUAGGGAAUCUUCCACAAUGGACGAAAGUCUGAUGGAGCAACGCCGCGUGAGUGAAGAAGGGUUUCGGCUCGUAAAACUCUGUUGUUAAAGAAGAACAUAUCUGAGAGUAACUGUUCAGGUAUUGACGGUAUUUAACCAGAAAGCCACGGCUAACUACGUGCCAGCAGCCGCGGUAAUACGUAGGUGGCAAGCGUUGUCCGGAUUUAUUGGGCGUAAAGCGAGCGCAGGCGGUUUUUUAAGUCUGAUGUGAAAGCCUUCGGCUCAACCGAAGAAGUGCAUCGGAAACUGGGAAACUUGAGUGCAGAAGAGGACAGUGGAACUCCAUGUGUAGCGGUGAAAUGCGUAGAUAUAUGGAAGAACACCAGUGGCGAAGGCGGCUGUCUGGUCUGUAACUGACGCUGAGGCUCGAAAGUAUGGGUAGCAAACAGGAUUAGAUACCCUGGUAGUCCAUACCGUAAACGAUGAAUGCUAAGUGUUGGAGGGUUUCCGCCCUUCAGUGCUGCAGCUAACGCAUUAAGCAUUCCGCCUGGGGAGUACGGCCGCAAGGCUGAAACUCAAAGGAAUUGACGGGGGCCCGCACAAGCGGUGGAGCAUGUGGUUUAAUUCGAAGCUACGCGAAGAACCUUACCAGGUCUUGACAUACUAUGCAAAUCUAAGAGAUUAGACGUUCCCUUCGGGGACAUGGAUACAGGUGGUGCAUGGUUGUCGUCAGCUCGUGUCGUGAGAUGUUGGGUUAAGUCCCGCAACGAGCGCAACCCUUAUUAUCAGUUGCCAGCAUUAAGUUGGGCACUCUGGUGAGACUGCCGGUGACAAACCGGAGGAAGGUGGGGAUGACGUCAAAUCAUCAUGCCCCUUAUGACCUGGGCUACACACGUGCUACAAUGGAUGGUACAACGAGUUGCGAACUCGCGAGAGUAAGCUAAUCUCUUAAAGCCAUUCUCAGUUCGGAUUGUAGGUUGCAACUCGCCUACAUGAAGUCGGAAUCGCUAGUAAUCGCGGAUCAGCAUGCCGCGGUGAAUACGUUCCCGGGCCUUGUACACACCGCCCGUCACACCAUGAGAGUU